CCCGUGCCGUCAGCCAGCCACAUCCCCGCCGCGCGGCCUCGCCCCCCACCCGCCGAGGGAUCUCUGGAUCUGGGCGGCCUCGGCGCUCGCGGCUCCAACGCCACCUCCCCUUCCCACGCCGCUGCGCCGUGUCCCGCCGCACUAGUGACCAGGCGUCGUCGGGCCCAGCCCUCACCCCGCCGCCCUCGCAGGCGCCUCCCUCGCCUUCAGGGGUCGCCGCGCAACCCUCGUCCCGCCGCCCUCGGAGCUCUCGGCGGUAGAUCGACCCCGUCCUCCGCCCCCGCGCCCGCGCCUGCGCUGAAGAGACUACCAAAUAUCUUCGUGAACAGGACUUGAACACAGGUUUGGUGCAAUGGCGAAUAUGAACAUAACUCGCAUCUUGGAGAAGAUGACAGGGAAAGAUAAAGACUACAGAUAUAUGGCCACAUCUGAUCUGCUUAAUGAGUUGAACAAAGAGAGUUUCAAAGCAGACCAAGACCUUGAAUCAAAGUUGACUAACAUUGUUCUUCAACAACUUGAAGAUGCUUCAGGAGAUGUUUCUGGUUUAGCUGUGAAAUGGAACUGCAUCCAUGCCUCCAGAAUGGCCGCAGGGCUAUCAUCAGCGUCGUCGAUCUAACAACCGAUUCUUCUGAGAAAGGACUUAAGGUACUCAACCUAUUGAUGCACAUGGACAUGAUGACUCUCUAGCGUUUAUGGACCAACCAACCUGUAAUUAUGGACCUUAUUGUCUUGUAGACCAUUUGGUGUUUCGAGUGUUUUGGAGCUUGCACUUUGUGCAUGUAGAUACAAACUUGUGUGUUCUGGACCAUCUGAAGUCUCUCAUAGUAACCAAUAGUCCUUAUCUUUU
This is a long non-coding RNA of Hordeum vulgare subsp. vulgare (domesticated barley), 847 nucleotides long. RefSeq lists it as uncharacterized. The record is from RefSeq and is a predicted model, not a curated record. Lineage: Eukaryota; Viridiplantae; Streptophyta; Magnoliopsida; Poales; Poaceae. The transcript is spliced from 5 exons.